Long non-coding RNA from Paramisgurnus dabryanus, 1008 nucleotides. RefSeq lists it as uncharacterized. The record is from RefSeq and is a predicted model, not a curated record. Lineage: Eukaryota; Metazoa; Chordata; Actinopteri; Cypriniformes; Cobitidae.
UCAUUGGUUGGGGCCGAUAGAGGGGGUUGGAUUACGCAUAUAUAAACAGCAUACGUGUGUGUGACCCAGACGAGCGUCACUUCCCGGUAUCCCGUUUCGCUUCCGGCGUAUGGACUGAGGGCUGUUGUUAUCUUGGCUGUGCAGGACGAUUGCUGCAACUGUAAACAUCUCCGUGGCUGCAGAUAUUGUGGCUUUGACUUGUCGGCGGCGUGUUUCAUCUGUUUAUGCGAUCACAUUCAGUCAAUACGAUGCUGCGUAUGGGCGGAUGACGACUGUAUAUGCCAAGUUAUUCUCCUUGUGUAUCCUGAGCUCCACCAGCUGAGUGAUUAAACUGAAACUAAAACUUUGCAUUGCCACUAUGGAGUAUUAUCUUCACCUCCACUGAUUCCCGGGUCCCUGUGCCUGUUAUUCGGUAUGUCUCACUCAUGUGGGUUUAUUACAGAAAUGUAUUGUGACGACUGAUUAACAUGAUUAGUUUUCCCCCAUUUUAUAGAGUGAUAGGGGUAUGCAGUGACGUCACCGCUGUCUUGUUCCGGGUUGAAUAUUCGCGUUCGUGAACGUGAAUCCUAUUUUGAUACGUUUGUGAAUCCGCUAAUGCGGUGGGAGUGCUUUUGCACUUAUAUGGUCCAGUUAUGUUUUCAGUGAUUUACUUGUUGUUUUGGGUUAAUUUUUGUAUUAUUGCCAGCGUACUGGCGUGAACAUAUGUUUUCUUUCUGUUUGUUUCAGUGACAAUUGGUUUUGUUUCUUUAUUCUUUAAUUCAAUUUAAUUUGGUUAAUUUUGUUAUUGUGUGUUGGACAGGCAUUAAGUGUCAGCUGUGUUGCCUGCCUGAAUUUUGUAAAUCAUUUUUGUUUCUGUUUGAGUGUGUGUUUGUGUGUGUGCUGUGUUAUUUUGUUUUACAGGAGCUGCAGACCUUUGAUGAAGAGCAGGGCUAAAUAAAGUCUUUCUUUAGGUGGUGAUGGUGUUUCCUCACGGAGUGCUGUGAUUUGCCGUGUGCACUGGGGCUUUUG